AUCCAGCUGAAAAGUCCCAAAUAGAACGAAACACGCGUCCUGGAU
Molecule: non-coding RNA, 45 nt
Filed under: Schistosoma margrebowiei
Lineage: Eukaryota; Metazoa; Platyhelminthes; Trematoda; Strigeidida; Schistosomatidae
Source: RNAcentral